This 1428-nucleotide ribosomal RNA is filed under the name Georgenia sp. YIM 80691. RNAcentral's name for it is "bacterial SSU rRNA". It matches the Rfam family "Bacterial small subunit ribosomal RNA". Lineage: Bacteria; Bacillati; Actinomycetota; Actinomycetes; Allobogoriellales; Allobogoriellaceae. The record is from RNAcentral.
UGCAAGUCGAACGAUGAAGCCCAGCUUGCUGGGUGGAUUAGUGGCGAACGGGUGAGUAACACGUGAGUAACCUGCCCCUGACUUCGGGAUAACUACGAGAAAUCGUGGCUAAUACCGGAUAUGACACGUGCCUGCAUGGGUGUGUGUGGAAAGAUUUAUCGGUUGGGGAUGGGCUCGCGGCCUAUCAGCUUGUUGGUGGGGUAGUGGCCCACCAAGGCGACGACGGGUAGCCGGCCUGAGAGGGUGACCGGCCACACUGGGACUGAGACACGGCCCAGACUCCUACGGGAGGCAGCAGUGGGGAAUAUUGCACAAUGGGCGAAAGCCUGAUGCAGCGACGCCGCGUGAGGGAUGACGGCCUUCGGGUUGUAAACCUCUUUCAGUAGGGAAGAAGCCUUCGGGUGACGGUACCUGCAGAAGAAGCGCCGGCUAACUACGUGCCAGCAGCCGCGGUAAUACGUAGGGCGCAAGCGUUGUCCGGAAUUAUUGGGCGUAAAGAGCUCGUAGGUGGUUUGUCGCGUCUGCUGUGAAAACGCAAGGCUUAACCUUGCGCCUGCAGUGGGUACGGGCAGACUAGAGUGCGGUAGGGGAGACUGGAAUUCCUGGUGUAGCGGUGGAAUGCGCAGAUAUCAGGAGGAACACCGAUGGCGAAGGCAGGUCUCUGGGCCGUUACUGACACUGAGGAGCGAAAGCAUGGGGAGCGAACAGGAUUAGAUACCCUGGUAGUCCAUGCCGUAAACGUUGGGCACUAGGUGUGGGAUCCAUUCCACGGGUUCCGUGCCGCAGCUAACGCAUUAAGUGCCCCGCCUGGGGAGUACGGCCGCAAGGCUAAAACUCAAAGGAAUUGACGGGGGCCCGCACAAGCGGCGGAGCAUGCGGAUUAAUUCGAUGCAACGCGAAGAACCUUACCAAGGCUUGACAUACACCGGAAAAGUGCAGAGAUGUGCUCCCCGUAAGGUCGGUGUACAGGUGGUGCAUGGUUGUCGUCAGCUCGUGUCGUGAGAUGUUGGGUUAAGUCCCGCAACGAGCGCAACCCUUAUCCUGUGUUGCCAGCACGUAAUGGUGGGGACUCAUAGGAGACUGCCGGGGUCAACUCGGAGGAAGGUGGGGAUGACGUCAAAUCAUCAUGCCCCUUAUGUCUUGGGCUUCACGCAUGCUACAAUGGCCGGUACAAAGGGCUGCGAUACCGCGAGGUGGAGCGAAUCCCAAAAAGCCGGUCUCAGUUCGGAUUGGGGUCUGCAACUCGACCCCAUGAAGUCGGAGUCGCUAGUAAUCGCAGAUCAGCAACGCUGCGGUGAAUACGUUCUCGGGCCUUGUACACACCGCCCGUCACGUCAUGAAAGUCGGUAACACCCGAAGCCGGUGGCCCAACCCCUUGUGGGAGGGAGCUGUCGAAGGUGGGACUGGCGAUUAGGACGAAGUCGUAAC